CAGAUUGAACGCUGGCGGCAGGCCUAACACAUGCAAGUCGAACGGAAACAUGUCUAGCUUGCUAGAUGAUGUCGAGUGGCGGACGGGUGAGUAAUGCUUGGGAACUUGCCUUUGCGAGGGGGAUAACAGUUGGAAACGACUGCUAAUACCGCAUAAUGUCUUCGGACCAAACAGGGCUUCGGCUCUGGCGCAAAGAGAGGCCCAAGUGAGAUUAGCUAGUUGGUGAGGUAAAGGCUCACCAAGGCAACGAUCUCUAGCUGUUCUGAGAGGAAGAUCAGCCACACUGGGACUGAGACACGGCCCAGACUCCUACGGGAGGCAGCAGUGGGGAAUAUUGGACAAUGGGCGCAAGCCUGAUCCAGCCAUGCCGCGUGAGUGAUGAAGGCCCUAGGGUUGUAAAACUCUUUCAGUGGUGAAGA
This 419-nucleotide ribosomal RNA is filed under the name Nephroselmis pyriformis. RNAcentral describes it as "partial Bacterial small subunit ribosomal RNA". It matches the Rfam family "Bacterial small subunit ribosomal RNA", at positions 25 to 448 of the family's 1533-position model. The record is from RNAcentral. Lineage: Eukaryota; Viridiplantae; Chlorophyta; Nephroselmidophyceae; Nephroselmidales; Nephroselmidaceae.